Molecule: non-coding RNA, 46 nt
Organism: Erinaceus europaeus (western European hedgehog)
Lineage: Eukaryota; Metazoa; Chordata; Mammalia; Eulipotyphla; Erinaceidae
Source: Rfam
CCAAAGGCUCUUUUCAGAGCCACCCACAAUUUCUGAGGAAGAGCUU